CGCGGGACUGGUAUAUUCCCCCAACAUGCUUCGCGCACCCUUAAUGGUUCUCUCUAACUUUACUUGUAAAACAGUCGAGCAGACUUUUAAAUCAUGCCGGCACACAAAUCGUUCAAAAUCAAGGUCAAACUGGCCA
This is a long non-coding RNA of Nematostella vectensis (starlet sea anemone), 136 nucleotides long. RefSeq lists it as uncharacterized. NCBI's taxonomy places the organism in Eukaryota, Metazoa, Cnidaria, Anthozoa, Actiniaria, Edwardsiidae. The transcript has 2 exons. The record is from RefSeq and is a predicted model, not a curated record.